RNAcentral lists this ribosomal RNA (301 nucleotides) under uncultured bacterium. RNAcentral describes it as "partial 16S ribosomal RNA". It matches the Rfam family "Bacterial small subunit ribosomal RNA", at positions 509 to 807 of the family's 1533-position model. The record is from RNAcentral.
CAGUAGCCGCGGUAAUACAGAGGGUGCGAGCGUUAAUCGGAUUUACUGGGCGUAAAGCGUGCGUAGGCGGCUUCUUAAGUCGGAUGUGAAAUCCCUGAGCUUAACUUAGGAAUUGCAUUCGAUACUGGGAAGCUAGAGUAUGGGAGAGGAUGGUAGAAUUCCAGGUGUAGCGGUGAAAUGCGUAGAGAUCUGGAGGAAUACCGAUGGCGAAGGCAGCCAUCUUGCCUAAUACUGACGCUGAGGUACGAAAGCAUGGGGAGCAAACAGGAUUAGAUACCCGAGUAGUCCCUGUCUCUUAUAC